Molecule: ribosomal RNA, 492 nt
Filed under: uncultured bacterium
Lineage: Bacteria
Description: partial 16S ribosomal RNA
Rfam family: Bacterial small subunit ribosomal RNA
Source: RNAcentral
AGUGAACGCUGGCGGUAGGCCUAACACAUGCAAGUCGAACGGCAGCACAGUAAGAGCUUGCUCUUACGGGUGGCGAGUGGCGGACGGGUGAGGAAUACAUCGGAAUCUACUUUUUCGUGGGGGAUAACGUAGGGAAACUUACGCUAAUACCGCAUACGACCUACGGGUGAAAGCAGGGGAUCUUCGGACCUUGCGCGAUUGAAUGAGCCGAUGUCGGAUUAGCUAGUUGGCGGGGUAAAGGCCCACCAAGGCGACGAUCCGCAGCUGGUCUGAGAGGAUGAUCAGCCACACUGGGACUGAGACACGGUCCAGACUCCUACGGGAGGCAGCAGUGGGGAAUAUUGGACAAUGGGCGCAAGCCUGAUCCAGCCAUACCGCGUGGGUGAAGAAGGCCUUCGGGUUGUAAAGCCCUUUUGUUGGGAAAGAAAAGCAGCAGGUUAAUACCCCGCUGUUCUGACGGUACCCAAAGAAUAAGCACCGGCUAACUUCGUG